GUGCUGCUGCAGCUGGUGUUGUGAAUCAGGCCGAUGGCAGCGCUGCCAGAAACCGGCCAUUUCUCAACACCAGGGCGGCCGCGCAUCACU
This is a microRNA precursor of Poecilia formosa (Amazon molly), 90 nucleotides long. The record is from Ensembl. Lineage: Eukaryota; Metazoa; Chordata; Actinopteri; Cyprinodontiformes; Poeciliidae.